This 709-nucleotide long non-coding RNA is filed under the name Cricetulus griseus (Chinese hamster). Its description in RNAcentral is "lncRNA (ENSCGRG00015041202.1)". Lineage: Eukaryota; Metazoa; Chordata; Mammalia; Rodentia; Cricetidae. The record is from RNAcentral.
UUUGCCUUUAAUCCCAGUGCUUCCAAGGCAGAGGCAGGUGGGUCCUGAGUUCAAGGCCAGCUUGGCCUACAGUGUGAGUGCCAGCGCUACACAGAGAAGCCCUGUCUCAAAAAAGAAAAAGAAGGAAAUUUUUGCUCCUUGCCUGCUUGCUGUCAACCUGGCUAGCAAGUCCACUCCUUCACUGGCCUUGGAGCCUGCUUCCUCGGGAUUCCAGCCUAUACUGAGGACCUGCUGAGACAUCCAGCCUCAUGGACUGAACAGCUACAGGAUCCCUGACCUUGUUCAUAUCAGCCAUUGUUGGACUAGCUGGACCACAGCCUAGGAAGUGGAGAAGCAGAAACGAAGCCAGAGAUGAUGGUGCUGAGAGGGAGGAACCGUCUGACCUUAGAGAAGCUGAUGAUGAACCUCAGACAUGGGUUGGCUGCAUACAGGACAGGGUGUGAUGUGGUUCUAGUUGGAGGAUGCUCAUUUCUCUUCUGUGAAUGAGGCCCAUCUGCCCAAGGACCGGUCGUGAGGAAGCUGCUGAAGGUGGGCACUGCUGGCUGAAGAAUAUGGACCAACUAGGGGACAGAGGCUGCAUCGGAGAGUGUGAAUGUUUGUGUCACUAGCUUUCCAAUUGUACCAUCCUUAAUAAGAUGGAGAGGAGAGAGCAAGGUAUUCCCCUGUUUUGCCUAUGCGCAAUCAACAGCAAUAAAUAAUAAUAAUAAAA